UAUUGGCCAAUGGGCGAAAGCCUGAUCCAGCAAUGCCGCGUGAGUGAUGAAGGCCUUAGGGUUGUAAAGCUCUUUUACCCGGGAUGAUAAUGACAGUACCGGGAGAAUAAGCUCCGGCUAACUCCGUGCCAGCAGCCGCGGUAAUACGGAGGGAGCUAGCGUUGUUCGGAAUUACUGGGCGUAAAGCGCACGUAGGCGGCUUUGUAAGUUAGAGGUGAAAGCCUGGAGCUCAACUCCAGAAUUGCCUUUGAUACUGCAUCGCUUGAAUCCAGGAGAGGUGAGUGGAAUUCCGAGUGUAGAGGUGAAAUUCGUAGAUAUUCGGAAGAACACCAGUGGCGAAGGCGGCUCACUGGACUGGUAUUGACGCUGAGGUCGAAA
RNAcentral lists this ribosomal RNA (378 nucleotides) under uncultured bacterium. RNAcentral's name for it is "bacterial SSU rRNA". It matches the Rfam family "Bacterial small subunit ribosomal RNA", at positions 362 to 758 of the family's 1533-position model. The record is from RNAcentral.